Erinaceus europaeus (western European hedgehog) is the source of this 809-nucleotide long non-coding RNA. RefSeq lists it as uncharacterized. NCBI's taxonomy places the organism in Eukaryota, Metazoa, Chordata, Mammalia, Eulipotyphla, Erinaceidae. The transcript has 3 exons. The record is from RefSeq and is a predicted model, not a curated record.
GCAGCAGCUUCCAGAUGAUGGCACAGGACUUGAACCAGGGUUUUCCUGUAUGGUUCUAUGUGUGCUCUACCCAGUGAAGCCCCUGCUGACUACGUCCAGAGACGCCAGACCUGGGCUGUCAACCCUUUGGCUCCAAUACUCCGGUGAGAACUUUCUUACGUCACAGGACUCUUCAAUUCCAUUCCGGCUUCCAGGCAGAGAGCAUGAGCUGCUGUGGACAUAGUGGAAACUGAGAUCCAAGCACCCAAGGACUCUGCAGAUGGGCUAUCAGCAGAAAGACAAGCACAGCAAGGAGAAUUCUGGACAUAACCGUGGUGGAGCCGCACAGGGCAAAGAAAGAAAGCGUGGCAGACCCUGCUGGCUGAAAGAAAACAUGGCUCUGUGUGUUAGAGGGAGAGAGGGAACUUCAUCUGCUCUGAGAGCUGGCACAGUGGAGUUGAAAGGCAGGCAUAGAGCAGACGCUAGUAUCAGGACCGGAGGAUUUGCCUCACACUGGCCACUUAAAAAUACAGGAUGCUUGUCUGUGAGGCCCAUGUCUGAGUCCAUGUGUCUCUGGAAUUACACACAUUCUUUAGGCAGAAGGUCCAUAUGUCUUGGGGCAGAAGGCCUAUUCCAGGUGAGAGGAAAAGCGAAAUAAGAGACAAAGGCCAAGGCUGGUCAGUGUCACACCUGCUUGAACGCAUGCAUAUAUUACCAGGCACGAGGACUUAGGUUCAAGCCCCCGCUCCCUAUCUGUAGGAGGGAAGAUGUGAAGUGGAUAGAUUCAUACUGCUGACACGGAAUUCCAGCAAUAACCCCGGUGGCAUAAA